RNAcentral lists this transfer RNA (77 nucleotides) under Hyphomicrobiales bacterium. RNAcentral's name for it is "tRNA-Pro". It matches the Rfam family "tRNA". From Rfam's summary of the family: Transfer RNA (tRNA) molecules are approximately 80 nucleotides in length. Their secondary structure includes four short double-helical elements and three loops (D, anti-codon, and T loops). The record is from RNAcentral. Lineage: Bacteria; Pseudomonadati; Pseudomonadota; Alphaproteobacteria; Hyphomicrobiales.
CGGAGCGUGGCGCAGUCUGGUAGCGCACCUCGUUCGGGACGAGGGGGUCGCAGGUUCAAAUCCUGCCGCUCCGACCA